AUGAGGCUGUAUGCAACACCGGACGAUUUCGCUAGUGGCAUGAGACUUGUGUUCUCUAAUGCAAUGGAAAUGUAUCCUCCAAGGCAUCAUAUUCACCAAAUUGCAAAAAAGUUCAGUGACAAUUUUGAACACAAAUGGAAGCCAUUGAAGGAUAUAUGGGAACUUGAGGAUAGAAAGAGAAGAAAGGCUCACAAGAGUAGAAGAUACUAA
Molecule: non-coding RNA, 210 nt
Organism: Vicia faba (fava bean)
Lineage: Eukaryota; Viridiplantae; Streptophyta; Magnoliopsida; Fabales; Fabaceae
Source: the annotation of a GenBank genome assembly